This is a long non-coding RNA of Apis mellifera (honey bee), 430 nucleotides long. RefSeq lists it as uncharacterized. Lineage: Eukaryota; Metazoa; Arthropoda; Insecta; Hymenoptera; Apidae. The transcript has 3 exons. The record is from RefSeq and is a predicted model, not a curated record.
CAAGUGCUACGGCAGCUGGUAAAGAUUUAAAACCAGCUGUCGUGGCACAAUCUUCACCCAAUGAUCCGGUUGAUGCCGCUUCUAUCACGUCCAGAGCUUCUUCGAUACCCGCCUUCCAAAUAGAACAGGAUUCUAAGGAUUAAUUUUUGGGAAAAAGUAAAGAGAUAUCUUACUCGUUUCGUAUCGAGAAUGCUCUCUGUGCUGGUAAUCGUAGAGAGGGACGGUACCGAGGUCGAGGUAGCCGUCGUUACAGUGAUGUACGCCAUCAUCGUCAUCGUCGCAGGAAACAGGGCCCAAAGCCAAGAUUUGCCCAUCCCGCGUACUGCUCAUUUGUACUUUGAAAUAAAUCUAUAAAUAAUUAAGUGCGUAUAAUUAAAGGUAAAAAAGAGUUUGAAUAGUGUAAUUAUUAAUAAUAUCAUUAAUAUAUAAU